Non-coding RNA from Xyrichtys novacula (pearly razorfish), 30501 nucleotides. The record is from the annotation of a GenBank genome assembly. Lineage: Eukaryota; Metazoa; Chordata; Actinopteri; Labriformes; Labridae.
AGGGUGAUAUGAAUUGGGCUGGGGGGACAGGGACGGCAAUCAGAGGGCCCCUGGGCUUUGGGGAUGGAAGUCAGAGAGCCCCUGGAACACGGGGGACGACAGGUAGCCUUGUCUUCAUCUGUCAACUCCUCCAAAAUUUAAAAACACAAACCAGAUAACUCCUGCUUAAUUUUCCAACCAUCAAUUUUUUAUUCACCCAGCCUAAAAGUCCUGAUUAUCAGUUCUGGGUCCCUGGCAAUGACUGUUGGGUACAAACUGAGAAGCUGUGCUCUGAAGGUAGGGCUGGGCUUUUCACUGACCAUGUAGGUGGAUUAGUUGUGUGGGCAAAGUAUGUCAUCCUAGCCACUAUGUUUUCUGCACCUGGAGUAGACAGCACCUUGAUAGCUCAGUUGGUAGAGCACAGGUCUUUAGGCACUUCCUCAUAUGAAGUGCUGUCAUUCCAAGGUCGCUGGUUCAACUCCCACUCAAACCAAGCCUUGUCUUUACCUGUCAGCUCCACCAAAAUUUAAAAACACAAACAAGAUAACUCCUACUUUACUUUCCAACCAUCAUUUUUUUAUUCACCAGCCUAAAAGUCCUGAUUAUCAGUUCUGGGUCCCUGGCAAUGACUGUUGGGUACAAACUGAGAAGCUGUGCUCUGAAGGUAGGGCUGGGCCUUUCACUGACCAUGUAGGUGGAUUAGUUGUGUGGGCAAAGUAUGUCAUCAUAGCGACUAUGUUUUCUGCACUUGUAGUAGAUAGCACCUUGAUAGCUCAGUUGUUAGAGCACAGGUCUUUAGGCAGUUCCUCAUAUGAAGUGCUGUCAUUCCAAUGUCGCUGGUUCAACUCCCGCUCAAAGCAAGCCUUGUCUUCACCUGUCAGCUCCUCCAAAAUUUAAAAACACAAACAAGAUAACUCCUACUUUAUUUUCCAACCAUCAAUUUUUUUAUUCACCCAGCCUUAAAGUCCUGAUUAUCAGUUCUGGGUCCCUGGCAAUGACUGUUGGGUACAAACUGAGAAGCUGUGCUCUGAAGGUAGGGCUGGGCUUUUCACUGACCAUGUAGGUGGAUUAGUUGUGUGGGCAAAGUAUGUCAUCAUAGCGACUAUGUUUUCUGCACUUGUAGUAGAUAGCACCUUGAUAGCUCAUUUGGUAGAGCACAGGUCUUUAGGCAGUUCCUCAUAUGAAGUGCUGUCAUUCCAAGAUCCCUGGUUCAACUCCCGCUCAAAGCAAGCCUUGUCUUCACCUGUCAGCUCCUCCAAAAUUUAAAAACACAAACAAGAUAACUCCUACUUUAUUUUCCAACCAUCAAUUUUUUUAUUCACCCAGCCUUAAAGUCCUGAUUAUCAGUUCUGGGUCCCUGGCAAUGACUGUUGGGUACAAACUGAGAAGCUGUGCUCUGAAGGUAGGGCUGGGCUUUUCACUGACCAUGUAGGUGGAUUAGUUGUGUGGGCAAAGUAUGUCAUCAUAGCGACUAUGUUUUCUGCACUUGUAGUAGAUAGCACCUUGAUAGCUCAUUUGGUAGAGCACAGGUCUUUAGGCAGUUCCUCAUAUGAAGUGCUGUCAUUCCAAGGUUGCUGGUGCAACUCCCGCUCAAAGCAAGCCUUGUCUUCACCUGUCAGCUCCUCCAAAAUUUAAAAACACAAACAAGAUAACUCCUACUUUAUUUUCCAACCAUCAAUUUUUUUAUUCACCCAGCCUUAAAGUCCUGAUUAUCAGUUCUGGGUCCCUGGCAAUGACUGUUGGGUACAAACUGAGAAGCUGUGCUCUGAAGGUAGGGCUGGGCUUUUCACUGACCAUGUAGGUGGAUUAGUUGUGUGGGCAAAGUAUGUCAUCCUAGCCACUAUGUUUUCUGCACCUGGAGUAGACAGCACCUUGAUAGCUCAGUUGGUAGAGCACAGGUCUUUAGGCACUUCCUCAUAUGAAGUGCUGUCAUUCCAAGGUCGCUGGUUCAACUCCCACUCAAACCAAGCCUUGUCUUUACCUGUCAGCUCCACCAAAAUUUAAAAACACAAACAAGAUAACUCCUACUUUACUUUCCAACCAUCAUUUUUUUAUUCACCAGCCUAAAAGUCCUGAUUAUCAGUUCUGGGUCCCUGGCAAUGACUGUUGGGUACAAACUGAGAAGCUGUGCUCUGAAGGUAGGGCUGGGCCUUUCACUGACCAUGUAGGUGGAUUAGUUGUGUGGGCAAAGUAUGUCAUCAUAGCGACUAUGUUUUCUGCACUUGUAGUAGAUAGCACCUUGAUAGCUCAGUUGUUAGAGCACAGGUCUUUAGGCAGUUCCUCAUAUGAAGUGCUGUUAUUCCAAUGUCGCUGGUUCAACUCCCGCUCAAAGCAAGCCUUGUCUUCACCUGUCAGCUCCUCCAAAAUUUAAAAACACAAACAAGAUAACUCCUACUUUAUUUUCCAACCAUCAUUUUUUUUAUUCACCCAGCCUUAAAGUCCUGAUUAUCAGUUCUGGGUCCCUGGCAAUGACUGUUGGGUACAAACUGAGAAGCUGUGCUCUGAAGGUAGGGCUGGGCUUUUCACUGACCAUGUAGGUGGAUAAGUUGUGUGGGCAAAGUAUGUCAUCAUAGCGACUAUGUUUUCUGCACUUGUAGUAGAUAGCACCUUGAUAGCUCAGUUGGUAGAGCACAGGUCUUUAGGCAGUUCCUCAUAUGAAGUGCUGUCAUUCCAAGGUUGCUGGUUCAACUCCCGCUCAAAGCAAGCCUUGUCUUCACCUGUCAGCUCCUCCAAAAUUUAAAAACACAAACAAGAUAACUCCUACUUUAUUUUCCAACCAUCAAUUUUUUUAUUCACCCAGCCUUAAAGUCCUGAUUAUCAGUUCUGGGUCCCUGGCAAUGACUGUUGGGUACAAACUGAGAAGCUGUGCUCUGAAGGUAGGGCUGGGCUUUUCACUGACCAUGUAGGUGGAUUAGUUGUGUGGGCAAAGUAUGUCAUCAUAGCGACUAUGUUUUCUGCACUUGUAGUAGAUAGCACCUUGAUAGCUCAUUUGGUAGAGCACAGGUCUUUAGGCAGUUCCUCAUAUGAAGUGCUGUCAUUCCAAGGUUGCUGGUUCAACUCCCGCUCAAAGCAAGCCUUGUCUUCACCUGUCAGCUCCUCCAAAAUUUAAAAACACAAACAAGAUAACUCCUACUUUAUUUUCCAACCAUCAAUUUUUUUAUUCACCCAGCCUUAAAGUCCUGAUUAUCAGUUCUGGGUCCCUGGCAAUGGCUGUUGGGUACAAACUGAGAAGCUGUGCUCUGAAGGUAGGGCUGGGCUUUUCACUGACCAUGUAGGUGAUUAGUUGUGUGGGCAAAGUAUGUCAUCAUAGCGACUAUGUUUUCUGCACUUGUAGUAGACAGCACCUUGAUAGCUCAGUUGGUACAGCAGACCACUGUAGGCAAUUCCUCAUAUGAAGUGCGGUCAUUCCAAGGUCGCUGGUUCAACUCCCGCUCAAAGCAAGCCUUGUCUUCACCUGUCAGCUCCUCCAAAAUUUAAAAACACAAACAAGAUAACUCCUACUUUAUUUUCCAACCAUCAAUUUUUUAUUCACCCAGCCUAAAAGUCCUGAUUAUCAGUUCUGGGUCCCUGGCAAUGACUGUUGGGUACAAACUGAGAAGCUGUGCUCUGAAGGUAGGGCUGGGCUUUUCACUGACCAUGUAGGUGGAUUAGUUGUGUGGGCAAAGUAUGUCAUCCUAGCCACUAUGUUUUCUGCACUUGUAGUAGACAGCACCUUGAUAGCUCAGUUGGUGGAGCACAGGUCUGUAGGCAGUUCCUCAUAUGAAGUGCAGUCAUUCCAAGGUAGCUGGUUCAACUCCCGCUCAAAGCAAGCCUUGUCUUCACCUGUCUCCUCCUCCAAAAUUGAAAAACACAAACAAGAUAACUCCUACUUUAUUUUCCAACCAUCAAUUUUUUUUUUCACCCAGCCUAAAAGUCCUGAUUAUCAGUUCUGGGUCCCUGGCAAUGACUGUUGGGUACAAACUGAGACGCUGUGCUCUGAAGGUAGGGCUGGGCUUUUCACUGACCAUGUAGGUGGAUUAGUUGUGUGGGCAAAGUGUGUCAUCAUAGCCACUAUGUUUUCUGCACUGGUUGUUUAUAGCACCUUGAUAGCUCAGUUGGUAGAGCAGAGGACUGUAGGCAGUUCUUCAUAUGAAGUGCUCUCAUUCCAAGGUAGCUGGUUCAACUCCCGCUCAAAGCAAGCCUUGUCUUCACCUGUCAGCUCCUCCAAUAUUUGAAAAAACACACAAGAUAACUCCUACUUUAUUUUCCAACCAUCAAUUUUUUUAUUCACCCAGCCUUAAAGUCCUGAUUAUCAGUUCUGGGUCCCUGGCAAUGACUGUUGGGUACAAACUGAGAAGCUGUGCUCUGAAGGUAGGGCUGGGCUUUUCACUGACCAUGUAGGUGGAUUAGUUGUGUGGGCAAAGUAUGUCAUCAUAGCGACUAUGUUUUCUGCACUUGUAGUAGAUAGCACCUUGAUAGCUCAGUUGGUAGAGCACAGGUCUUUACGAAGUUCCUCAUAUGAAGUGCUGUCAUUCCAAGGUUGCUGUUUCAACUCCCGCUCAAAGCAAGCCUUGUCUUCACCUGUCAGCUCCUCCAAAAUUUAAAAACACAAACAAGAUAACUCCUACUUUAUUUUCCAACCCUCAAUUUUUUUAUUCACCCAGCCUUAAAGUCCUGAUUAUCAGUUCUGGGUCCCUGGCAAUGGCUGUUGGGUACAAACUGAGAAGCUGUGCUCUGAAGGUAGGGCUGGGCUUUUCACUGACCAUGUAGGUGAUUAGUUGUGUGGGCAAAGUAUGUCAUCAUAGCGACUAUGUUUUCUGCACUUGUAGUAGACAGCACCUUGAUAGCUCAGUUGGUACAGCAGACCACUGUAGGCAAUUCCUCAUAUGAAGUGCGGUCAUUCCAAGGUCGCUGGUUCAACUCCCGCUCAAAGCAAGCCUUGUCUUCACCUGUCAGCUCCUCCAAUAUUUGAAAAAACACACAAGAUAACUCCUACUUUACUUUCCAACCAUCAAUUUUUUAUUCACCAGCCUAAAAGUCCUGAUUAUCAGUUCUGGGUCCCUGGCAAUGACUGUUGGGUACAAACUGAGAAGCUGUGCUCUGAAGGUAGGGCUGGGCUUUUAACUGACCAUGUAGGUGGAUUAGUUGUGUGGGCAAAGUGUGUCAUCAUAGCCACUAUGUUUUCUGCACUUGUAAUAGACAUCACCUUGAUAGCUCAGUUGGUAGAGCAGAGGACUGUAGGGAGUUCCUCAUAUGAAGUGCUGUCAUUCCAAGGUCGCUGGUUCAACUCCCGCUCAAAGCAAGCCUUGUCUUCACCUGUCAGCUCCUCCAAAAUUUAAAAACACAAACAAGAUAACUCCUACUUUAUUUUCAAACCAUCAAUUUUUUAUUCACCCAGCCUAAAAGUCCUGAUUAUCAGUUCUGGGUCCCUGGCAAUGGCUGUUGGGUACAAACUGAGAAGCUGUGCUCUGAAGGUAGGGCUGGGCUUUUCACUGACCAUGUAGGUGAUUAGUUGUGUGGGCAAAGUAUGUCAUCAUAGCGACUAUGUUUUCUGCACUUGUAGUAGACAGCACCUUGAUAGCUCAGUUGGUACAGCAGACCACUGUAGGCAAUUCCUCAUAUGAAGUGCGGUCAUUCCAAGGUCGCUGGUUCAACUCCCGCUCAAAGCAAGCCUUGUCUUCACCUGUCAGCUCCUCCAAUAUUUGAAAAAACACACAAGAUAACUCCUACUUUACUUUCCAACCAUCAAUUUUUUAUUCACCAGCCUAAAAGUCCUGAUUAUCAGUUCUGGGUCCCUGGCAAUGACUGUUGGGUACAAACUGAGAAGCUGUGCUCUGAAGGUAGGGCUGGGCUUUUAACUGACCAUGUAGGUGGAUUAGUUGUGUGGGCAAAGUGUGUCAUCAUAGCCACUAUGUUUUCUGCACUUGUAAUAGACAUCACCUUGAUAGCUCAGUUGGUAGAGCAGAGGACUGUAGGGAGUUCCUCAUAUGAAGUGCUGUCAUUCCAAGGUCGCUGGUUCAACUCCCGCUCAAAGCAAGCCUUGUCUUCACCUGUCAGCUCCUCCAAAAUUUAAAAACACAAACAAGAUAACUCCUACUUUAUUUUCAAACCAUCAAUUUUUUAUUCACCCAGCCUAAAAGUCCUGAUUAUCAGUUCUGGGUCCCUGGCAAUGGCUGUUGGGUACAAACUGAGAAGCUGUGCUCUGAAGGUAGGGCUGGGCUUUUCACUGACCAUGUAGGUGUACUAGUUGUGUGGGCAAAGUAUGUCAUCAUAGCGACUAUGUUUUCUGCACUUGUAGUAGACAGCACCUUGAUAGCUCAGUUGGUACAGCACAGGUCUUUAGGCAGUUCCUCAUAUGAAGUGCUGUCAUUCCAAGGUCGCUGGUUCAACUCCCGCUCAAAGCAAGCCUUGUCUUCACCUGUCAGCUCCUCCAAAAUUUAAAAACACAAACAAGAUAACUCCUACUUUAUUUUCCAACCAUCAAUUUUUUAUUCACCCAGCCUAAAAGUCCUGAUUAUCAGUUCUGGGUCCCUGGCAAUGACUGUUGGGUACAAACUGAGAAGCUGUGCUCUGAAGGUAGGGCUGGGCUUUUCACUGACCAUGUAGGUGGAUUAGUUGUGUGGGCAAAGUAUGUCAUCCUAGCCACUAUGUUUUCUGCACUUGUAGUAGACAGCACCUUGAUAGCUCAGUUGGUAGAGCACAGGUCUGUAGGCAGUUCCUCAUAUGAAGUGCUGUCAUUCCAAGGUAGCUGGUUCAACUCCCGCUCAAAGCAAGCCUUGUCUUCACCUGUCUCCUCCUCCAAAAUUGAAAAACACAAACAAGAUAACUCCUACUUUAUUUUCCAACCAUCAAUUUUUUAUUCACCCAGCCUAAAAGUCCUGAUUAUCAGUUCUGGGUCCCUGGCAAUGGCUGUUGGGUACAAACCGAGAAGCUGUGCUCUGAAGGUAGGGCUGGGCUUUUCACUGACCAUGUAGGUGGAUUAGUUGUGUGGGCAAAGUGUGUCAUAAUAGCCACUAUGUUUUCUGCACUGGUUGUUUAUAGCACCUUGAUAGCUCAGUUGGUAGAGCAGAGGACUGUAGGCAGUUCUUCAUAUGAAGUGCUCUCAUUCCAAUGUCGCUGGUUCAACUCCCGCUCAAAGCAAGCCUUGUCUUCACCUGUCAGCUCCUCCAAAAUUUAAAAACACAAACAACAUAACUCCUACUUUAUUUUCCAACCAUCAUUUUUUUAUUCACCAGCCUAAAAGUCCUGAUUAUCAGUUCUGGGUCCCUGGCAAUGACUGUUGGGUACAAACCGAGAAGCUGUGCUCUGAAGGUAGGGCUGGGCUUUUCACUGACCAUGUAGGUGGAUUAGUUGUGUGGGCAAAGUGUGUCAUCAUAGCCACUAUGUUUUCUGCACUGGUUGUUUAUAGCACCUUGAUAGCUCAGUUGGUAGAGCAGAGGACUGUAGGCAGUUCUUCAUAUGAAGUGCUCUCAUUCCAAGGUCGCUGGUUCAACUCCCGCUCAAAGCAAGCCUUGUCUUCACCUGUCAGCUCCUCCAAAAUUUGAAAACACACAAGAUAACUCCUACUUUAUUUUCCAACCAUCAAUUUUUUUAAUCACCCAGCCUUAAAGUCCUGAUUAUCAGUUCUGGGUCCCUGGCAAUGACUGUUGGGUACAAACUGAGAAGCUGUGCUCUGAAGGUAGGGCUGGGCUUUUCACUGACCAUGUAGGUGGAUUAGUUGUGUGGGCAAAGUAUGUCAUCAUAGCGACUAUGUUUUCUGCACUUGUAGUAGAUAGCACCUUGAUAGCUCAGUUGGUAGAGCACAGGUCUUUAGGCAGUUCCUCAUAUGAAGUGCUGUCAUUCCAAGGUUGCUGGUUCAACUCCCGCUCAAAGCAAGCCUUGUCUUCACCUGUCACCUCCUCCAAAAUUUAAAAACACAAACAAGAUAACUCCUACUUUAUUUUCCAACCCUCAAUUUUUUUAUUCACCCAGCCUUAAAGUCCUGAUUAUCAGUUCUGGGUCCCUGGCAAUGGCUGUUGGGUACAAACUGAGAAGCUGUGCUCUGAAGGUAGGGCUGGGCUUUUCACUGACCAUGUAGGUGAUUAGUUGUGUGGGCAAAGUAUGUCAUCAUAGCGACUAUGUUUUCUGCACUUGUAGUAGACAGCACCUUGAUAGCUCAGUUGGUACAGCAGAGGACUGUAGGCAGUUCUUCAUAUGAAGUGCGGUCAUUCCCAGGUCGCUGGUUCAACUCCCGCUCAAAGCAAGCCUUGUCUUCACCUGUCAGCUCCUCCAAAAUUUAAAAACACAAACAAGAUAACUCCUACUUUAUUUUCCAACCAUCAAUUUUUUAUUCACCCAGCCUAAAAGUCCUGAUUAUCAGUUCUGGGUCCCUGGCAAUGACUGUUGGGUACAAACUGAGAAGCUGUGCUCUGAAGGUAGGGCUGGGCUUUUCACUGACCAUGUAGGUGGAUUAGUUGUGUGGGCAAAGUAUGUCAUCCUAGCCACUAUGUUUUCUGCACUUGUAGUAGACAGCACCUUGAUAGCUCAGUUGGUAGAGCACAGGUCUGUAGGCAGUUCCUCAUAUGAAGUGCUGUCAUUCCAAGGUAGCUGGUUCAACUCCCGCUCAAAGCAAGCCUUGUCUUCACCUGUCUCCUCCUCCAAAAUUGAAAAACACAAACAAGAUAACUCCUAAUUUAUUUUCCAACCAUCAAUUUUUUUUUCACCCAGCCUAAAAGUCCUGAUUAUCAGUUCUGGGUCCCUGGCAAUGACUGUUGGGUACAAACUGAGACGCUGUGCUCUGAAGGUAGGGCUGGGCUUUUCACUGACCAUGUAGGUGGAUUAGUUGUGUGGGCAAAGUGUGUCAUCAUAGCCACUAUGUUUUCUGCACUGGUUGUUUAUAGCACCUUGAUAGCUCAGUUGGUAGAGCAGAGGACUGUAGGCACUUCUUCAUAUGAAGUGCUCUCAUUCCAAGAUCCCUGGUUCAACUCCCGCUCAAAGCAAGCCUUGUCUUCACCUGUCAGCUCCUCCAAAAUUUAAAAAAACACACAAGAUAACUCCUACUUUAUUUUCCAACCAUCAAUUUUUUAUUCACCCAGCCUAAAAGUCCUGAUUAUCAGUUCUGGGUCCCUGGCAAUGGCUGUUGGGUACAAACUGAGAAGCUGUGCUCUGAAUGUAGGGCUGGGCUUUUCACUGACCAUGUAGGUGGAUUAGUUGUGUGUGCAAAGUAUGUCAUAAUAGCCACUAUGUUUUCUGCACUUGUAGUAGACAGCACCUUGAUAGCUCAGUUGGUAGAGCAGACGACUGUAGGCAGUUCCUCAUAUGAAGUGCUGUCAUUCCAAGGUCGCUGGUUCAACUCCCGCUCAAAGCAAGCCUUGUCUUCACCUGUCAGCUCCUCCAAAAUUUAAAAACACAAACAAGAUAACUCCUAAUUUAUUUUCCAACCAUCAAUUUUUUAUUCACCCAGCCUAAAAGUCCUGAUUAUCAGUUCUGGGUCCCUGGCAAUGGCUGUUGGGUACAAACUGAGAAGCUGUGCUCUGAAAUUAGGGCUGGGCUUUUCACUGACCAUAUAGGUGGAUUAGUUGUGUGGGCAAAGUGUGUCAUCAUAGCCACUAUGUUUUCUGCACUGGUUGUUUAUAGCACCUUGAUAGCUCAGUUGGUAGAGCAGAGGACUGUAGGCAGUUCUUCAUAUGAAGUGCUCUCAUUCCAAGGUCGCUGGUUCAACUCCCGCUCAAAGCAAGCCUUGUCUUCACCUGUCAGCUCCUCCAAAAUUUAAAAAAAACACACAAGAUAACUCCUACUUUAUUUUCCAACCAUCAAUUUUUUAUUCACCCAGCCUAUAAGUCCUGAUUAUCAGUUCUGGGUCCCUGGCAAUGGCUGUUGGGUACAAACUGAGAAGCUGUGCUCUGAAGGUAGGGCUGGGCUUUUCACUGACCAUGUAGGUGGAUUAGUUGUGUGUGCAAAGUAUGUCAUAAUAGCCACUAUGUUUUCUGCACUUGUAGUAGACAGCACCUUCAUAGCUCAGUUGGUAGAGCAGAGGACUGUAGGCAGUUCUUCAUAUAAAGUGCUCUCAUUCCAAUGUCGCUGGUUCAACUCCCGCUCAAAGCAAGCCUUGUCUUCACCUGUCAGCUCCUCCAAAAUUUAAAAAAACACACAAGAUAACUCCUACUUUAUUUUCCAACCAUCAAUUUUUUAUUCACCCAGCCUAAAAGUCCUGAUUAUCAGUUCUGGGUCCCUGGCAAUGGCUGUUGGGUACAAACUGAGAAGCUGUGCUCUGAAGGUAGGGCUGGGCUUUUCACUGACCAUGUAGGUGGAUUAGUUGUGUGGGCAAAGUGUGUCAUCAUAGCCACUAUGUUUUCUGCACUGGUUGUUUAUAGCACCUUGAUAGCUCAGUUGGUAGAGCAGAGGACUGUAGGCAGUUCUUCAUAUGAAGUGCUCUCAUUCCAAUGUCGCUGGUUCAACUCCCGCUCAAAGCAAGCCUUGUCUUCACCUGUCAGCUCCUCCAAAAUUUAAAAACACAAACAAGAUAACUCCUACUUUAUUUUCCAACCAUCAUUUUUUUAUUCACCAGCCUAAAAGUCCUGAUUAUCAGUUCUGGGUCCCUGGCAAUGACUGUUGGGUACAAACUGAGAAGCUGUGCUCUGAAGGUAGGGCUGGGCUUUUCACUGACCAUGUAGGUGGAUUAGUUGUGUGGGCAAAGUGUGUCAUCAUAGCCACUAUGUUUUCUGCACUUGUAGUAGACAGCACCUUGAUAGCUCAGUUGGUAGAGCAGAGGACUGUAAGCAGUUCCUCAUAUGAAGUGCUGUCAUUCCAAGGUCGCUGGUUCAACUCCCGCUCAAAGCAAGCCUUGUCUUCACCUGUCAGCUCCUCCAAAAUUUAAAAACACAAACAAGAUAACUCCUACUUUAUUUUCAAACCAUCAAUUUUUUAUUCACCCAGCCUAAAAGUCCUGAUUAUCAGUUCUGGGUCCCUGGCAAUGGCUGUUGGGUACAAACUGAGAAGCUGUGCUCUGAAAUUAGGGCUGGGCUUUUCACUGACCAUGUAGGUGGAUUAGUUGUGUGGGCAAAGUAUGUCAUCAUAGCCACUAUGUUUUCUGCACUUGUAGUAGACAGCACCUUGAUAGCUCAGUUGGAAGAGCAGAGGACUGUAGGCAGUUCCUCAUAUAAAGUGCUGUCAUUUCAAGGUCGCUGGUUCAACUCCAGCUCAGAGCAAGCCUUGGCUUCACCUCUCAGCCCCUCAAAUAUUUAAAAACACAAACUAGAUAACUCCUACUUUAUUUUCCAACCAUCACUUUUUUUAUUCACCCAGCCUAAAAGUCCUGAUUAUCAGUUCUGGGUCCCUGGCAAUGGCUGUUGGGUACAAACUGAGAAGUUGUGCUCUGAAGGUAGGGCUGGGCUUUUCACUGACCAUGUAGGUGUACUAGUUGUGAGGGCAAAGUAUGUCAUCAUAGCGACUAUGUUUUCUGCACUUGUAGUAGACAGCACCUUGAUAGCUCAGUUGGUAGAGCACAGGUCUUUAGGCAGUUCCUCAUAUGAAGUGCUGUCAUUCCAAGGUCGCUGGUUCAACUCCCGCUCAAAGCAAGCCUUGUCUUCACCUGUCAGCUCCUCCAAAAUUUAAAAACACAAACAAGAUAACUCCUACUUUAUUUUCCAACCAUCAAUUUUUUUUUCACCCAGCCUAAAAGUCCUGAUUAUCAGUUCUGGGUCCCUGGCAAUGACUGUUGGGUACAAACUGAGAAGCUGUGCUCUGAAGGUAGGGCUGGGCUUUUCACUGACCAUGUAGGUGGAUUAGUUGUGUGGGCAAAGUAUGUCAUCCUAGCCACUAUGUUUUCUGCACUUGUAGUAGACAGCACCUUGAUAGCUCAGUUGGUAGAGCACAGGUCUGUAGGCAGUUCCUCAUAUGAAGUGCUGUCAUUCCAAGGUAGCUGGUUCAACUCCCGCUCAAAGCAAGCCUUGUCUUCACCUGUCUCCUCCUCCAAAAUUGAAAAACACAAACAAGAUAACUCCUACUUUAUUUUCCAACCAUCAAUUUUUUUUUCACCCAGCCUAAAAGUCCUGAUUAUCAGUUCUGGGUCCCUGGCAAUGACUGUUGGGUACAAACUGAGACGCUGUGCUCUGAAGGUAGGGCUGGGCUUUUCACUGACCAUGUAGGUGGAUUAGUUGUGUGGGCAAAGUGUGUCAUCAUAGCCACUAUGUUUUCUGCACUGGUUGUUUAUAGCACCUUGAUAGCUCAGUUGGUAGAGCAGAGGACUGUAGGCAGUUCUUCAUAUGAAGUGCUGUCAUUCCAAGGUCGCUGGUUCAACUCCCGCUCAAAGCAAGCCUUGUCUUCACCUGUCAGCUCCUCCAAAAUUUAAAAACACAAACAAGAUAACUCCUACUUUAUUUUCCAACCAUCAAUUUUUUUAUUCACCCAGCCUUAAAGUCCUGAUUAUCAGUUCUGGGUCCCUGGCAAUGGCUGUUGGGUACAAACUGAGAAGCUGUGCUCUGAAGGUAGGGCUGGGCUUUUCACUGACCAUGUAGGUGGAUUAGUUGUGUGGGCAAAGUAUGUCAUCAUAGCGACUAUGUUUUCUGCACUUGUAGUAGACAGCACCUUGAUAGCUCAGUUGGUACAGCAGACCACUGUAGGCAAUUCCUCAUAUGAAGUGCGGUCAUUCCAAGGUCGCUCGUUCAACUCCCGCUCAAAGCAAGCCUUGUCUUCACCUGUCAGCUCCUCCAAAAUUUAAAAACACAAACAAGAUAACUCCUACUUUAUUUUCCAACCAUCAAUUUUUUAUUCACCCAGCCUAAAAGUCCUGAUUAUCAGUUCUGGGUCCCUGGCAAUGACUGUUGGGUACAAACUGAGAAGCUGUGCUCUGAAGGUAGGGCUGGGCUUUUCACUGACCAUGUAGGUGGAUUCGUUGUGUGGGCAAAGUAUGUCAUCCUAGCCACUAUGUUUUCUGCACUUGUAGUAGACAGCACCUUGAUAGCUCAGUUGGUAGAGCACAGGUCUGUAGGCAGUUCCUCAUAUGAAGUGCUGUCAUUCCAAGGUAGCUGGUUGAACUCCCGCUCAAAGCAAGCCUUGUCUUCACCUGUCAGCUCCUCCAAAAUUUAAAAACACAAACAAGAUAACUCCUACUUUAUUUUCCAACCAUCAAUUUUUUUAUUCACCCAGCCUUAAAGUCCUGAUUAUCAGUUCUGGGUCCCUGGCAAUGACUGUUGGGUACAAACUGAGAAGCUGUGCUCUGAAGGUAGGGCUGGGCUUUUCACUGACCAUGUAGGUGGAUUAGUUGUGUGGGCAAAGUAUGUCAUCCUAGCCACUAUGUUUUCUGCACCUGGAGUAGACAGCACCUUGAUAGCUCAGUUGGUAGAGCACAGGUCUUUAGGCACUUCCUCAUAUGAAGUGCUGUCAUUCCAAGGUCGCUGGUUCAACUCCCACUCAAACCAAGCCUUGUCUUUACCUGUCAGCUCCACCAAAAUUUAAAAACACAAACAAGAUAACUCCUACUUUACUUUCCAACCAUCAUUUUUUUAUUCACCAGCCUAAAAGUCCUGAUUAUCAGUUCUGGGUCCCUGGCAAUGACUGUUGGGUACAAACUGAGAAGCUGUGCUCUGAAGGUAGGGCUGGGCCUUUCACUGACCAUGUAGGUGGAUUAGUUGUGUGGGCAAAGUAUGUCAUCAUAGCGACUAUGUUUUCUGCACUUGUAGUAGAUAGCACCUUGAUAGCUCAGUUGUUAGAGCACAGGUCUUUAGGCAGUUCCUCAUAUGAAGUGCUGUUAUUCCAAUGUCGCUGGUUCAACUCCCGCUCAAAGCAAGCCUUGUCUUCACCUGUCAGCUCCUCCAAAAUUUAAAAACACAAACAAGAUAACUCCUACUUUAUUUUCCAACCAUCAUUUUUUUUAUUCACCCAGCCUUAAAGUCCUGAUUAUCAGUUCUGGGUCCCUGGCAAUGACUGUUGGGUACAAACUGAGAAGCUGUGCUCUGAAGGUAGGGCUGGGCUUUUCACUGACCAUGUAGGUGGAUAAGUUGUGUGGGCAAAGUAUGUCAUCAUAGCGACUAUGUUUUCUGCACUUGUAGUAGAUAGCACCUUGAUAGCUCAGUUGGUAGAGCACAGGUCUUUAGGCAGUUCCUCAUAUGAAGUGCUGUCAUUCCAAGGUUGCUGGUUCAACUCCCGCUCAAAGCAAGCCUUGUCUUCACCUGUCAGCUCCUCCAAAAUUUAAAAACACAAACAAGAUAACUCCUACUUUAUUUUCCAACCAUCAAUUUUUUUAUUCACCCAGCCUUAAAGUCCUGAUUAUCAGUUCUGGGUCCCUGGCAAUGACUGUUGGGUACAAACUGAGAAGCUGUGCUCUGAAGGUAGGGCUGGGCUUUUCACUGACCAUGUAGGUGGAUUAGUUGUGUGGGCAAAGUAUGUCAUCAUAGCGACUAUGUUUUCUGCACUUGUAGUAGACAGCACCUUGAUAGCUCAGUUGGUACAGCAGACCACUGUAGGCAAUUCCUCAUAUGAAGUGCGGUCAUUCCAAGGUCGCUGGUUCAACUCCCGCUCAAAGCAAGCCUUGUCUUCACCUGUCAGCUCCUCCAAAAUUUAAAAACACAAACAAGAUAACUCCUACUUUAUUUUCCAACCAUCAAUUUUUUAUUCACCCAGCCUAAAAGUCCUGAUUAUCAGUUCUGGGUCCCUGGCAAUGACUGUUGGGUACAAACUGAGAAGCUGUGCUCUGAAGGUAGGGCUGGGCUUUUCACUGACCAUGUAGGUGGAUUAGUUGUGUGGGCAAAGUAUGUCAUCCUAGCCACUAUGUUUUCUGCACUUGUAGUAGACAGCACCUUGAUAGCUCAGUUGGUAGAGCACAGGUCUGUAGGCAGUUCCUCAUAUGAAGUGCUGUCAUUCCAAGGUAGCUGGUUGAACUCCCGCUCAAAGCAAGCCUUGUCUUCACCUGUCAGCUCCUCCAAAAUUUAAAAACACAAACAAGAUAACUCCUACUUUAUUUUCCAACCAUCAAUUUUUUUAUUCACCCAGCCUUAAAGUCCUGAUUAUCAGUUCUGGGUCCCUGGCAAUGACUGUUGGGUACAAACUGAGAAGCUGUGCUCUGAAGGUAGGGCUGGGCUUUUCACUGACCAUGUAGGUGGAUUAGUUGUGUGGGCAAAGUAUGUCAUCCUAGCCACUAUGUUUUCUGCACCUGGAGUAGACAGCACCUUGAUAGCUCAGUUGGUAGAGCACAGGUCUUUAGGCACUUCCUCAUAUGAAGUGCUGUCAUUCCAAGGUCGCUGGUUCAACUCCCACUCAAACCAAGCCUUGUCUUUACCUGUCAGCUCCACCAAAAUUUAAAAACACAAACAAGAUAACUCCUACUUUACUUUCCAACCAUCAUUUUUUUAUUCACCAGCCUAAAAGUCCUGAUUAUCAGUUCUGGGUCCCUGGCAAUGACUGUUGGGUACAAACUGAGAAGCUGUGCUCUGAAGGUAGGGCUGGGCCUUUCACUGACCAUGUAGGUGGAUUAGUUGUGUGGGCAAAGUAUGUCAUCAUAGCGACUAUGUUUUCUGCACUUGUAGUAGAUAGCACCUUGAUAGCUCAGUUGUUAGAGCACAGGUCUUUAGGCAGUUCCUCAUAUGAAGUGCUGUUAUUCCAAUGUCGCUGGUUCAACUCCCGCUCAAAGCAAGCCUUGUCUUCACCUGUCAGCUCCUCCAAAAUUUAAAAACACAAACAAGAUAACUCCUACUUUAUUUUCCAACCAUCAUUUUUUUUAUUCACCCAGCCUUAAAGUCCUGAUUAUCAGUUCUGGGUCCCUGGCAAUGACUGUUGGGUACAAACUGAGAAGCUGUGCUCUGAAGGUAGGGCUGGGCUUUUCACUGACCAUGUAGGUGGAUAAGUUGUGUGGGCAAAGUAUGUCAUCAUAGCGACUAUGUUUUCUGCACUUGUAGUAGAUAGCACCUUGAUAGCUCAGUUGGUAGAGCACAGGUCUUUAGGCAGUUCCUCAUAUGAAGUGCUGUCAUUCCAAGGUUGCUGGUUCAACUCCCGCUCAAAGCAAGCCUUGUCUUCACCUGUCAGCUCCUCCAAAAUUUAAAAACACAAACAAGAUAACUCCUACUUUAUUUUCCAACCAUCAAUUUUUUUAUUCACCCAGCCUUAAAGUCCUGAUUAUCAGUUCUGGGUCCCUGGCAAUGACUGUUGGGUACAAACUGAGAAGCUGUGCUCUGAAGGUAGGGCUGGGCUUUUCACUGACCAUGUAGGUGGAUUAGUUGUGUGGGCAAAGUAUGUCAUCAUAGCGACUAUGUUUUCUGCACUUGUAGUAGAUAGCACCUUGAUAGCUCAUUUGGUAGAGCACAGGUCUUUAGGCAGUUCCUCAUAUGAAGUGCUGUCAUUCCAAGGUUGCUGGUUCAACUCCCGCUCAAAGCAAGCCUUGUCUUCACCUGUCAGCUCCUCCAAAAUUUAAAAACACAAACAAGAUAACUCCUACUUUAUUUUCCAACCAUCAAUUUUUUUAUUCACCCAGCCUUAAAGUCCUGAUUAUCAGUUCUGGGUCCCUGGCAAUGGCUGUUGGGUACAAACUGAGAAGCUGUGCUCUGAAGGUAGGGCUGGGCUUUUCACUGACCAUGUAGGUGAUUAGUUGUGUGGGCAAAGUAUGUCAUCAUAGCGACUAUGUUUUCUGCACUUGUAGUAGACAGCACCUUGAUAGCUCAGUUGGUACAGCAGACCACUGUAGGCAAUUCCUCAUAUGAAGUGCGGUCAUUCCAAGGUCGCUGGUUCAACUCCCGCUCAAAGCAAGCCUUGUCUUCACCUGUCAGCUCCUCCAAAAUUUAAAAACACAAACAAGAUAACUCCUACUUUAUUUUCCAACCAUCAAUUUUUUAUUCACCCAGCCUAAAAGUCCUGAUUAUCAGUUCUGGGUCCCUGGCAAUGACUGUUGGGUACAAACUGAGAAGCUGUGCUCUGAAGGUAGGGCUGGGCUUUUCACUGACCAUGUAGGUGGAUUAGUUGUGUGGGCAAAGUAUGUCAUCCUAGCCACUAUGUUUUCUGCACUUGUAGUAGACAGCACCUUGAUAGCUCAGUUGGUAGAGCACAGGUCUGUAGGCAGUUCCUCAUAUGAAGUGCAGUCAUUCCAAGGUAGCUGGUUCAACUCCCGCUCAAAGCAAGCCUUGUCUUCACCUGUCUCCUCCUCCAAAAUUGAAAAACACAAACAAGAUAACUCCUACUUUAUUUUCCAACCAUCAAUUUUUUUUUCACCCAGCCUAAAAGUCCUGAUUAUCAGUUCUGGGUCCCUGGCAAUGACUGUUGGGUACAAACUGAGACGCUGUGCUCUGAAGGUAGGGCUGGGCUUUUCACUGACCAUGUAGGUGGAUUAGUUGUGUGGGCAAAGUGUGUCAUCAUAGCCACUAUGUUUUCUGCACUGGUUGUUUAUAGCACCUUGAUAGCUCAGUUGGUAGAGCAGAGGACUGUAGGCAGUUCUUCAUAUGAAGUGCUCUCAUUCCAAGGUAGCUGGUUCAACUCCCGCUCAAAGCAAGCCUUGUCUUCACCUGUCAGCUCCUCCAAUAUUUGAAAAAACACACAAGAUAACUCCUACUUUAUUUUCCAACCAUCAAUUUUUUUAUUCACCCAGCCUUAAAGUCCUGAUUAUCAGUUCUGGGUCCCUGGCAAUGGCUGUUGGGUACAAACUGAGAAGCUGUGCUCUGAAAUUAGGGCUGGGCUUUUCACUGACCAUGUAGGUGGAUUAGUUGUGUGGGCAAAGUAUGUCAUCAUAGCGACUAUGUUUUCUGCACUUGUAGUAGACAGCACCUUGAUAGCUCAGUUGGUACAGCAGACCACUGUAGGCAAUUCCUCAUAUGAAGUGCGGUCAUUCCAAGGUCGCUGGUUCAACUCCCGCUCAAAGCAAGCCUUGUCUUCACCUGUCAGCUCCUCCAAAAUUUAAAAACACAAACAAGAUAACUCCUACUUUAUUUUCCAACCAUCAAUUUUUUAUUCACCCAGCCUAAAAGUCCUGAUUAUCAGUUCUGGGUCCCUGGCAAUGACUGUUGGGUACAAACUGAGAAGCUGUGCUCUGAAGGUAGGGCUGGGCUUUUCACUGACCAUGUAGGUGGAUUAGUUGUGUGGGCAAAGUAUGUCAUCCUAGCCACUAUGUUUUCUGCACUUGUAGUAGACAGCACCUUGAUAGCUCAGUUGGUAGAGCACAGGUCUGUAGGCAGUUCCUCAUAUGAAGUGCUGUCAUUCCAAGGUAGCUGGUUGAACUCCCGCUCAAAGCAAGCCUUGUCUUCACCUGUCAGCUCCUCCAAAAUUGAAAAACACAAACAAGAUAACUCCUAAUUUAUUUUCCAACCAUCAAUUUUUUUUUCACCCAGCCUAAAAGUCCUGAUUAUCAGUUCUGGGUCCCUGGCAAUGGCUGUUGGGUACAAACUGAGAAGCUGUGCUCUGAAAUUAGGGCUGGGCUUUUCACUGACCAUAUAGGUGGAUUAGUUGUGUGGGCAAAGUGUGUCAUCAUAGCCACUAUGUUUUCUGCACUGGUUGUUUAUAGCACCUUGAUAGCUCAGUUGGUAGAGCAGAGGACUGUAGGCAGUUCUUCAUAUGAAGUGCUGUCAUUCCAAGGUCGCUGGUUCAACUCCCGCUCAAAGCAAGCCUUGUCUUCACCUGUCAGCUCCACCAAAAUUUGAAAACACAAACAAGAUAACUCCUACUUUACUUUCCAACCAUCAUUUUUUUAUUCCCCAGCCUAAAAGUCCUGAUUAUCAGUUCUGGGUCCCUGGCAAUGACUGUUGGGUACAAACUGAGAAGCUGUGCUCUGAAGGUAGGGCUGGGCUUUUCACUGACCAUGUAGGUGGAUUAGUUGUGUGGGCAAAGUGUGUCAUCAUAGCCACUAUGUUUUCUGCACUUGUAGUAGACAGCACCUUGAUAGCUCAGUUGGUAGAGCAGAGGACUUUAGGCAAUUCCUCAUAUAAAGUGCUGUCAUUUCAAGGUCGCUGUUUCAACUCCAGCUCAGAGCAAGCCUUGGCUUCACCUCUCAGCCCCUCAAAUAUUUAAAAACACAAACUAGAUAACUCCUACUUUAUUUUCCAACCAUCAAUUUUUUUAUUCACCCAGCCUAAAAGUCCUGAUUAUCAGUUCUGGGUCCCUGGCAAUGGCUGUUGGGUACAAACUGAGAAGCUGUGCUCUGAAAUUAGGGCUGGGCUUUUCACUGACCAUGUAGGUGUACUAGUUGUGUGGGCAAAGUAUGUCAUCAUAGCGACUAUGUUUUCUGCACUUGUAGUAGACAGCACCUUGAUAGCUCAGUUGGUAGAGCACAGGUCUGUAGGCAGUUCCUCUUAUGAAGUGCUGUCAUUCCAAGGUCGCUGGUUCAACUCCCGCUCAAAGCAAGCCUUGUCUUCACCUGUCAGCUCCUCCAGAAUUUAAAAACACAAACAAGAUAACUCCUACUUUAUUUUCAAACCAUCAAUUUUUUAUUCACCCAGCCUAAAAGUCCUGAUUAUCAGUUCUGGGUCCCUGGCAAUGGCUGUUGGGUACAAACUGAGAAGCUGUGCUCUGAAAUUAGGGCUGGGCUUUUCACUGACCAUGUAGGUGGAUUAGUUGUGUGGGCAAAGUAUGUCAUCAUAGCCACUAUGUUUUCUGCACUUGUAGUAGACAGCACCUUGAUAGCUCAGUUGGUAGAGCACAGGUCUGUAGGCAGUUCCUCAUAUGAAGUGCUGUCAUUCCAAGGUAGCUGGUUGAACUCCCGCUCAAAGCAAGCCUUGUCUUCACCUGUCUCCUCCUCCAAAAUUGAAAAACACAAAAAAGAUAACUCCUACUUUAUUUUCCAACCAUCAUUUUUUUUUUCACCCAGCCUAAAAGUCCUGAUUAUCAGUUCUGGGUCCCUGGCAAUGGCUGUUGGGUACAAACUGAGAAGCUGUGCUCUGAAGGUAGGGCUGGGCUUUUCACUGACCAUGUAGGUGGAUUAGUUGUGUGGGCAAAGUGUGUCAUCAUAGCCACUAUGUUUUCUGCACUGGUUGUUUAUAGCACCUUGAUAGCUCAGUUGGUAGAGCAGAGGACUGUAGCCAGUUCUUCAUAUGAAGUGCUCUCAUUCCAAGGUCGCUGGUUCAACUCCCGCUCAAAGCAAGCCUUGUCUUCACCUGUCAGCUCCUCCAAAAUUUAAAAAAACACACAAGAUAACUCCUACUUUAUUUUCCAACCAUCAAUUUUUUAUUCACCCAGCCUAAAAGUCCUGAUUAUCAGUUCUGGGUCCCUGGCAAUGGCUGUUGGGUACAAACCGAGAAGCUGUGCUCUGAAGGUAGGGCUGGGCUUUUCACUGACCAUGUAGGUGGAUUAGUUGUGUGGGCAAAGUGUGUCAUAAUAGCCACUAUGUUUUCUGCACUGGUUGUUUAUAGCACCUUGAUAGCUCAGUUGGUAGAGCAGAGGACUGUAGGCAGUUCUUCAUAUGAAGUGCUCUCAUUCCAAUGUCGCUGGUUCAUCUCCCGCUCAAAGCAAGCCUUGUCUUCACCUGUCAGCUCCUCCAAAAUUUAAAAACACAAACAAGAUAACUCCUACUUUAUUUUCCAAACAUCAUUUUUUUAUUCACCAGCCUAAAAGUCCUGAUUAUCAGUUCUGGGUCCCUGGCAAUGGCUGUUGGGUACAAACUGAGAAGCUGUGCUCUGAAGGUAGGGCUGGGCUUUUCACUGACCAUGUAGGUGGAUUAGUUGUGUGGGCAAAGUGUGUCAUCAUAGCCACUAUGUUUUCUGCACUUGUAGUAGACAGCACCUUGAUAGCUCAGUUGGUAGAGCAGAGGACUGUAUGCAGUUCCUCACAUGAAGUGCUGUCAUUCCAAGGUAGCUGGUUCAACUCCUGCUCAAAGCAAGCCUUGUCUUCACCUGUCAGCUCCUCCAAAAUUUAAAAACACAAACAAGAUAACUCCUAAUUUAUUUUCCAACCAUCAAUUUUUUUAUUCACCCAGCCUAAAAGUCCUGAUUAUCAGUUCUGGGUCCCUGGCAAUGGCUGUUGGGUACAAACUGAGAAGCUGUGCUCUGAAGGUAGGGCUGGGCUUUUCACUGACCAUGUAGGUGGAUUAGUUGUGUGGGCAAAGUAUGUCAUCAUAGCGACUAUGUUUUCUGCACUUGUAGUUGACAACACCUUGAUAGCUCAGUUGGUAGAGCACAGGUCUUUAGGCAGUUCCUCAUAUGAAGUGCUGUCAUUCAAAGGUCGCUGGUUCAACUCCUGCUCAAAGCAAGCCUUGUCUUCACCUGUCAGCUCGUCCAAAAUUUAAAAACACAAACAAGAUAACUCCUACUUUAUUUUCCAACCAUCAAUUUUUUUAUUCACCCAGCCUAAAAGUCCUGAUUAUCAGUUCUGGGUCCCUGGCAAUGGCUGUUGGGUACAAACUGAGAAGCUGUGCUCUGAAGGUAGGGCUGGGCUUUUCACUGACCAUGUAGGUGGAUUAGUUGUGUGGGCAAAGUGUGUCAUCAUAGCCACUAUGUUUUCUGCACUGGUUGUUUAUAGCACCUUGAUAGCUCAGUUGGUAGAGCAGAGGACUGUAGGCAGUUCUUCAUAUGAAGUGCUCUCAUUCCAAGGUCGCUGGUUCAACUCCCGCUCAAAGCAAGCCUUGUCUUCACCUGUCAGCUCCACCAAAAUUUAAAAACACAAACAAGAUAACUCCUAAUUUAUUUUCCAACCAUCAUUUUUUUAUUCACCAGCCUUAAAGUCCUGAUUAUCAGUUCUGGGUCCCUGGCAAUGGCUGUUGGGUACAAACUGAGAAGCUGUGCUCUGAAGGUAGGGCUGGGCCUUUCACUGACCAUGUAGGUGGAUUAGUUGUGUGGGCAAAGUGUGUCAUCAUAGCCACUAUGUUUUCUGCACUUGUAGUAGACAGCACCUUGAUAGCUCAGUUGGUAGAGCAGAGGACUGUAGGCAGUUCCUCACAUGAAGUGCUGUCAUUCCAAGGUAGCUGGUUCAACUCCCGCUCAAAGCAAGCCUUGUCUUCACCUGUCAUCUCCUCCAAAAUUUAAAAACACAAACAAGAUAACUCCUACUUUAUUUUCCAACCAUCAAUUUUUUUAUUCACCCAGCCUAAAAGUCCUGAUUAUCAGUUCUGGGUCCCUGGCAAUGGCUGUUGGGUACAAACUGAGAAGCUGUGCUCUGAAGGUAGGGCUGGGCUUUUCACUGACCAUGUAGGUGGAUUAGUUGUGUGGGCAAAGUAUGUCAUCAUAGCGACUAUGUUUUCUGCACUUGUAGUAGACAGCACCUUGAUAGCUCAGUUGGUAGAGCACAGGUCUUAAGGCGGUUCCUCAUAUUAAGUGCUGUCAUUCCAAUGUCGCUGGUUCAACUCCCGCUCAAAGCAAGCCUUGUCUUCACCUGUCAGCUCCUCCAAAAUUUAAAAGCACAAACAAGAUAACUCCUACUUUAUUUUCCAACCAUCAAUUUUUUAUUCACCCAGCCUAAAAGUCCUGAUUAUCAGUUCUGGGUCCCUGGCAAUGACUGUUGGGUACAAACUGAGAAGCUGUGCUCUGAAGGUAGGGCUGGGCUUUUCACUGACCAUGUAGGUGGAUUAGUUGUGUGGGCAAAGUAUGUCAUCCUAGCGACUAUGUUUUCUGCACUUGUAGUUGACAACACCUUGAUAGCUCAGUUGGUAGAGCACAGGUCUUUAGGCGGUUCCUCAUAUGAAGUGCUGUCAUUCAAAGGUCGCUGGUUCAACUCCUGCUCAAAGCAAGCCUUGUCUUCACCUGUCAGCUCGUCCAAAAUUUAAAAACACAAACAAGAUAACUCCUACUUUAUUUUCCAACCAUCAAUUUUUUUAUUCACCCAGCCUAAAAGUCCUGAUUAUCAGUUCUGGGUCCCUGGCAAUGGCUGUUGGGUACAAACUGAGAAGCUGUGCUCUGAAGGUAGGGCUGGGCUUUUCACUGACCAUGUAGGUGGAUUAGUUGUGUGGGCAAAGUAUGUCAUCAUAGCGACUAUGUUUUCUGCACUUGUAGUAGACAGCACCUUGAUAGCUCAGUUGGUAGAGCACAGGUCUUAAGGCGGUUCCUCAUAUUAAGUGCUGUCAUUCCAAGGUCGCUGGUUCAACUCCCGCUCAAAGCAAGCCUUGUCUUCACCUGUCAGCUCCUCCAAAAUUUAAAAACACAAACAAGAUAACUCCUACUUUAUUUUCCAACCAUCAAUUUUUUAUUCACCCAGCCUAAAAGUCCUGAUUAUCAGUUCUGGGUCCCUGGCAAUGACUGUUGGGUACAAACUGAGAAGCUGUGCUCUGAAGGUAGGGCUGGGCUUUUCACUGACCAUGUAGGUGGAUUAGUUGUGUGGGCAAAGUAUGUCAUCCUAGCGACUAUGUUUUCUGCACUUGUAGUUGACAACUCCUUGAUACCUCAGUUGGUAGAGCAGAGGACUGUAGCCAGUUCUUCAUAUGAAGUGCUCUCAUUCCAAGGUCGCUGGUUCAACUCCCGCUCAAAGCAAGCCUUGUCUUCACCUGUCAGCUCCUCCAAAAUUUAAAAAAACACACAAGAUAACUCCUACUUUAUUUUCCAACCAUCAAUUUUUUAUUCACCCAGCCUAAAAGUCCUGAUUAUCAGUUCUGGGUCCCUGGCAAUGGCUGUUGGGUACAAACCGAGAAGCUGUGCUCUGAAGGUAGGGCUGGGCUUUUCACUGACCAUGUAGGUGGAUUAGUUGUGUGGGCAAAGUGUGUCAUAAUAGCCACUAUGUUUUCUGCACUGGUUGUUUAUAGCACCUUGAUAGCUCAGUUGGUAGAGCAGAGGACUGUAGGCAGUUCUUCAUAUGAAGUGCUCUCAUUCCAAUGUCGCUGGUUCAUCUCCCGCUCAAAGCAAGCCUUGUCUUCACCUGUCAGCUCCUCCAAAAUUUAAAAACACAAACAAGAUAACUCCUACUUUAUUUUCCAACCAUCAUUUUUUUAUUCACCAGCCUAAAAGUCCUGAUUAUCAGUUCUGGGUCCCUGGCAAUGGCUGUUGGGUACAAACUGAGAAGCUGUGCUCUGAAGGUAGGGCUGGGCUUUUCACUGACCAUGUAGGUGGAUUAGUUGUGUGGGCAAAGUGUGUCAUCAUAGCCACUAUGUUUUCUGCACUUGUAGUAGACAGCACCUUGAUAGCUCAGUUGGUAGAGCAGAGGACUGUAUGCAGUUCCUCACAUGAAGUGCUGUCAUUCCAAGGUAGCUGGUUCAACUCCCGCUCAAAGCAAGCCUUGUCUUCACCUGUCAGCUCCUCCAAAAUUGAAAAACACAAACAAGAUAACUCCUAAUUUAUUUUCCAACCAUCAAUUUUUUUAUUCACCCAGCCUAAAAGUCCUGAUUAUCAGUUCUGGGUCCCUGGCAAUGGCUGUUGGGUACAAACUGAGAAGCUGUGCUCUGAAGGUAGGGCUGGGCUUUUCACUGACCAUGUAGGUGGAUUAGUUGUGUGGGCAAAGUAUGUCAUCAUAGCGACUAUGUUUUCUGCACUUGUAGUAGACAGCACCUUGAUAGCUCAGUUGGUAGAGCACAGGUCUUAAGGCGGUUCCUCAUAUUAAGUGCUGUCAUUCCAAGGUCGCUGGUUCAACUCCCGCUCAAAGCAAGCCUUGUCUUCACCUGUCAGCUCCUCCAAAAUUUAAAAGCACAAACAAGAUAACUCCUACUUUAUUUUCCAACCAUCAAUUUUUUAUUCACCCAGCCUAAAAGUCCUGAUUAUCAGUUCUGGGUCCCUGGCAAUGACUGUUGGGUACAAACUGAGAAGCUGUGCUCUGAAGGUAGGGCUGGGCUUUUCACUGACCAUGUAGGUGGAUUAGUUGUGUGGGCAAAGUAUGUCAUCCUAGCGACUAUGUUUUCUGCACUUGUAGUUGACAACACCUUGAUAGCUCAGUUGGUAGAGCACAGGUCUUUAGGCAGUUCCUCAUAUGAAGUGCUGUCAUUCAAAGGUCGCUGGUUCAACUCCUGCUCAAAGCAAGCCUUGUCUUCACCUGUCAGCUCGUCCAAAAUUUAAAAACACAAACAAGAUAACUCCUACUUUAUUUUCCAACCAUCAAUUUUUUUAUUCACCCAGCCUAAAAGUCCUGAUUAUCAGUUCUGGGUCCCUGGCAAUGGCUGUUGGGUACAAACUGAGAAGCUGUGCUCUGAAGGUAGGGCUGGGCUUUUCACUGACCAUGUAGGUGGAUUAGUUGUGUGGGCAAAGUAUGUCAUCAUAGCGACUAUGUUUUCUGCACUUGUAGUAGACAGCACCUUGAUAGCUCAGUUGGUAGAGCACAGGUCUUAAGGCGGUUCCUCAUAUUAAGUGCUGUCAUUUCAAGGUCGCUGGUUCAACUCCCGCUCAAAGCAAGCCUUGUCUUCACCUGUCAGCUCCUCCAAAAUUUAAAAACACAAACAAGAUAACUCCUACUUUAUUUUCCAACCAUCAAUUUUUUAUUCACCCAGCCUAAAAGUCCUGAUUAUCAGUUCUGGGUCCCUGGCAAUGACUGUUGGGUACAAACUGAGAAGCUGUGCUCUGAAGGUAGGGCUGGGCUUUUCACUGACCAUGUAGGUGGAUUAGUUGUGUGGGCAAAGUAUGUCAUCCUAGCGACUAUGUUUUCUGCACUUGUAGUUGACAACUCCUUGGUAGCUCAGUUGGUAGAGCACAGGUCUUUAGGCAGUUCCUCAUAUGAAGUGCUGUCAUUCAAAGGUUGCUGGUUCAACUCCUGCUCAAAGCAAGCCUUGUCUUCACCUGUCAGCUCCUCCAAAAUUUAAAAACACAAACAAGAUAACUCCUACUUUAUUUUCCAACCAUCAAUUUUUUUAUUCACCCAGCCUAAAAGUCCUGAUUAUCAGUUCUGGGUCCCUGGCAAUGGCUGUUGGGUACAAACUGAGAAGCUGUGCUCUGAAGGUAGGGCUGGGCUUUUCACUGACCAUGUAGGUGGAUUAGUUGUGUGGGCAAAGUGUGUCAUCAUAGCCACUAUGUUUUCUGCACUGGUUGUUUAUAGCACCUUGAUAGCUCAGUUGGUAGAGCAGAGGACUGUAGGCAGUUCUUCAUAUGAAGUGCUCUCAUUCCAAGGUCGCUGGUUCAACUCCCGCUCAAAGCAAGCCUUGUCUUCACCUGUCAGCUCCACCAAAAUUUAAAAACACAAACAAGAUAACUCCUAAUUUAUUUUCCAACCAUCAUUUUUUUAUUCACCAGCCUUAAAGUCCUGAUUAUCAGUUCUGGGUCCCUGGCAAUGGCUGUUGGGUACAAACUGAGAAGCUGUGCUCUGAAGGUAGGGCUGGGCCUUUCACUGACCAUGUAGGUGGAUUAGUUGUGUGGGCAAAGUGUGUCAUCAUAGCCACUAUGUUUUCUGCACUUGUAGUAGACAGCACCUUGAUAGCUCAGUUGGUAGAGCAGAGGACUGUAGGCAGUUCCUCACAUGAAGUGCUGUCAUUCCAAGGUAGCUGGUUCAACUCCCGCUCAAAGCAAGCCUUGUCUUCACCUGUCAUCUCCUCCAAAAUUUAAAAACACAAACAAGAUAACUCCUACUUUAUUUUCCAACCAUCAAUUUUUUUAUUCACCCAGCCUAAAAGUCCUGAUUAUCAGUUCUGGGUCCCUGGCAAUGGCUGUUGGGUACAAACUGAGAAGCUGUGCUCUGAAGGUAGGGCUGGGCUUUUCACUGACCAUGUAGGUGGAUUAGUUGUGUGGGCAAAGUAUGUCAUCAUAGCGACUAUGUUUUCUGCACUUGUAUUAGACAGCACCUUGAUAGCUCAGUUGGUAGAGCACAGGUCUUAAGGCGGUUCCUCAUAUUAAGUGCUGUCAUUCCAAGGUCGCUGGUUCAACUCCCACUCAAAGCAAGCCUUGACUUCACCUGUCAGCUCCUCCAAAAUUUAAAAACACAAACAAGAUAACUCCUACUUUAUUUUCCAACCAUCAAUUUUUUAUUCACCCAGCCUAAAAAUCCUGAUUAUCAGUUCUGGGUCCCUGGCAAUGACUGUUGGGUACAAACUGAGAAGCUGUGCUCUGAAGGUAGGGCUGGGCUUUUCACUGACCAUGUAGGUGGAUUAGUUGUGUGGGCAAAGUAUGUCAUCCUAGCGACUAUGUUUUCUGCACUUGUAGUUGACAACACCUUGAUAGCUCAGUUGGUAGAGCACAGGUCUUUAGGCAGUUCCUGAUAUGAACUGCUGUCAUUCAAAGGUCGCUGGUUCAACUCCUGCUCAAAGCAAGCCUUGUCUUCACCUGUCAGCUCCUCCAAAAUUUAAAAACACAAACAAGAUAACUCCUAAUUUAUUUUCCAACCAUCAUUUUUUUAUUCACCAGCCUUAAAGUCCUGAUUAUCAGUUCUGGGUCCCUGGCAAUGGCUGUUGGGUACAAACUGAGAAGCUGUGCUCUGAAGGUAGGGCUGGGCCUUUCACUGACCAUGUAGGUGGAUUAGUUGUGUGGGCAAAGUGUGUCAUCAUAGCCACUAUGUUUUCUGCACUUGUAUUAGACAGCACCUUGAUAGCUCAGUUGGUAGAGCAGAGGACUGUAGGCAGUUCCUCACAUGAAGUGCUGUCAUUCCAAGGUAGCUGGUUCAACUCCCGCUCAAAGCAACCCUUGUCUUCACCUGUCAUCUCCUCCAAAAUUUAAAAACACAAACAAGAUAACUCCUACUUUAUUUUCCAACCAUCAAUUUUUUUAUUCACCCAGCCUAAAAGUCCUGAUUAUCAGUUCUGGGUCCCUGGCAAUGGCUGUUGGGUACAAACUGAGAAGCUGUGCUCUGAAGGUAGGGCUGGGCUUUUCACUGACCAUGUAGGUGGAUUAGUUGUGUGGGCAAAGUAUGUCAUCAUAGCGACUAUGUUUUCUGCACUUGUAUUAGACAGCACCUUGAUAGCUCAGUUGGUAGAGCACAGGUCUUAAGGCGGUUCCUCAUAUUAAGUGCUGUCAUUCCAAGGUCGCUGGUUCAACUCCCGCUCAAAGCAAGCCUUGACUUCACCUGUCAGCUCCUCCAAACUUUAAAAACACAAACAAGAUAACUCCUACUUUAUUUUCCAACCAUCAAUUUUUUAUUCACCCAGCCUAAAAGUCCUGAUUAUCAGUUCUGGGUCCCUGGCAAUGACUGUUGGGUACAAACUGAGAAGCUGUGCUCUGAAGGUAGGGCUGGGCUUUUCACUGACCAUGUAGGUGGAUUAGUUGUGUGGGCAAAGUAUGUCAUCCUAGCGACUAUGUUUUCUGCACUUGUAGUUGACAACACCUUGAUAGCUCAGUUGGUAGAGCACAGGUCUUUAGGCAGUUCCUCAUAUGAAGUGCUGUCAUUCAAACGUCGCUGGUUCAACUCCUGCUCAAAGCAAGCCUUGUCUUCACCUGUCAGCUUGUCCAAAAUUUAAAAACACAAACAAGAUAACUCCUACUUUAUUUUCCAACCAUCAAUUUUUUUAUUCACCCAGCCUAAAAGUCCUGAUUAUCAGUUCUGGGUCCCUGGCAAUGGCUGUUGGGUACAAACUGAGAAGCUGUGCUCUGAAGGUAGGGCUGGGCUUUUCACUGACCAUGUAGGUGGAUUAGUUGUGUGGGCAAAGUGUGUCAUCAUAGCCACUAUGUUUUCUGCACUGGUUGUUUAUACCACCUUGAUAGCUCAGUUGGUAGAGCAGAGGACUGUAGGCAGUUCUUCAUAUGAAUUGCUCUCAUUCCAAGGUCGCUGGUUCAACUCCCGCUCAAAGCAAGCCUUGUCUUCACCUUUUAGCUCCACCAAAAUUUAAAAACACAAACAAGAUAACUCCUAAUUUAUUUUCCAACCAUCAUUUUUUUAUUCACCAGCCUUAAAGUCCUGAUUAUCAGUUCUGGGUACCUGGCAAUGGCUGUUGGGUACAAACUGAGAAGCUGUGCUCUGAAGGUAGGGCUGGGCCUUUCACUGACCAUGUAGGUGGAUUAGUUGUGUGGGCAAAGUGUGUCAUCAUAGCCACUAUGUUUUCUGCACUUGUACUAGACAGCACCUUGAUAGCUCAGUUGGUAGAGCAGAGGACUGUAGGCAGUUCCUCACAUGAAGUGCUGUCAUUCCAAGGUAGCUGGUUCAACUCCCGCUCAAAGCAAGCCUUGUCUUCACCUGUCAGCUCCUCCAAAAUUUAAAAACACAAACAAGAUAACUCCUACUUUAUUUUCCAACCAUCAAUUUUUUUAUUCACCCAGCCUAAAAGUCCUGAUUAUCAGUUCUGGGUCCCUGGCAAUGGCUGUUGGGUACAAACUGAGAAGCUGUGCUCUGAAGGUAGGGCUGGGCUUUUCACUGACCAUGUAGGUGGAUUAGUUGUGUGGGCAAAGUAUGUCAUCAUAGCGACUAUGUUUUCUGCACUUGUAGUAGACAGCACCUUGAUAGCUCAGUUGGUAGAGCACAGGUCUUAAGGCGGUUCCUCAUAUUAAGUGCUGUCAUUCCAAGGUCGCUGGUUCAACUCCCGCUCAAAGCAAGCCUUGUCUUCACCUGUCAGCUCCUCCAAAAUUUAAAAACACAAACAAGAUAACUCCUACUUUAUUUUCCAACCAUCAAUUUUUUAUUCACCCAGCCUAAAAGUCCUGAUUAUCAGUUCUGGGUCCCUGGCAAUGACUGUUGGGUACAAACUGAGAAGCUGUGCUCUGAAGGUAGGGCUGGGCUUUUCACUGACCAUGUAGGUGGAUUAGUUGUGUGGGCAAAGUAUGUCAUCCUAGCCACUAUGUUUUCUGCACUUGUAUUAGACAGCACCUUGAUAGCUCAGUUGGUAGAGCAGAGGACUGUAGGCAGUUCCUCAUAUGAAGUGCUAUCAUUCCAAGGUAGCUGGUUCAACUCCCGCUCAAAGCAAGCCUUGUCUUCACCUGUCUCCUCCUCCAAAAUUGAAAAACACAAACAAGAUAACUCCUACUUUAUUUUCCAACCAUCAAUUUUUUUUUCACCCAGCCUAAAAGUCCUGAUUAUCAGUUCUGGGUCCCUGGCAAUGACUGUUGGGUACAAACUGAGAAGCUGUGCUCUGAAGGUAGGGCUGGGCUUUUCACUGACCAUGUAGGUGGAUUAGUUGUGUGGGCAAAGUGUGUCAUCAUAGCCACUAUGUUUUCUGCACUGGUUGUUUAUAGCACCUUGAUAGCUCAGUUGGUAGAGCAGAGGACUGUAGGCAGUUCGUCAUAUGAAGUGCUUUCAUUCCAAGGUCGCUGGUUCAACUCCCGCUCAAAGCAAGCCUUGUCUUCACCUGUCAGCUCCUCCAAAAUUAAAAAAAACACACAAGAUAACUCCUUCUUUAUUUUCCAACCAUCAAUUUUUUAUUCACCCAGCCUAAAAGUCCUGAUUAUCAGUUCUGGGUCCCUGGCAAUGGCUGUUGGGUACAAACUGAGAAGCUGUGCUCUGAAGGUAGGGCUGGGCUUUUCACUGACCAUGUAGGUGGAUUAGUUGUGUGGGCAAAGUAUGUCAUAAUAGCCACUAUGUUUUCUGCACUUGUAGUAGACAGCACCUUGAUAGCUCAGUUGGUAGAGCAGAGGACUGUAGGCAGUUCCUCAUAUGAAGUGCUGUCAUUCCAAGGUCGCUGGUUCAACUCCCGCUCAAAGUAAGCCUUGUCUUCACCUGUCAGCUCCUCCAAAAUUUAAAAACACAAACAAGAUAACUCCUACUUUAUUUUCCAACCAUCAAUUUUUUAUUCACCCAGCCUAAAAGUCCUGAUUAUCAGUUCUGGGUCCCUGGCAAUGACUAUUGGGUACAAACUGAGAAGCUGUGCUCUGAAGGUAGGGCUGGGCUUUUCACUGACCAUGUAGGUGGAUU